Molecule: ribosomal RNA, 200 nt
Filed under: uncultured bacterium
Lineage: Bacteria
Description: partial 16S ribosomal RNA
Rfam family: Bacterial small subunit ribosomal RNA
Source: RNAcentral
AGAGUUUGAUCAUGGCUCAGAGCGAACGCUGGCGGCAUGCCUAACACAUGCAAGUCGCACGGUCGGGGGUAACUCCGGCAGUGGCGGACGGGUGAGGAACGCGUAGGGAUCUAUCCAUGGGUGGGGGACAACCGCGGGAAACUGCGGCUAAUACCGCAUGACGAAUGUGCCUUGGCGGGCACGUUCCAAAGUUCGCAAGA